This is a long non-coding RNA of Sycon ciliatum, 798 nucleotides long. RefSeq lists it as uncharacterized. NCBI's taxonomy places the organism in Eukaryota, Metazoa, Porifera, Calcarea, Leucosolenida, Sycettidae. The record is from RefSeq and is a predicted model, not a curated record. The transcript has 2 exons.
UGUCUAUUCCUUGAUACAUUGACACGUCUGUGUAUUGCUCCCCGUUCUGAUAGGUGUAUGUUUUUGUUGUAAUCGCCGUCACGUGAACGGUGUUGUCAGCCCUCACCUCUCUUCUUUUUACCAUACAUUCCUUGUAGACUUGUAGGGUUUCAUUCUGUUGAUGUUGUUGUUGUCCGUCUUGUUGUCGUGGAGGUGGUGGAGGUGGGCUAAUUAAGUGGCCACUUGAAAUGUGAAGUGGUGUUUGAAGUGCCUAUCGGCGACAUAAGCAUUUCUUUUAAAGUGGUGGGUGUGGUGUUAGUAAGAUUGACUGUCUGGGAUGGUUUUUUUGAAAUUGAAUUAUGAUAUUCUGGAAUAUUCUAGGUAUUGCCAGACUACCCUUCAACCAACGAGCAUCAAACAACUGGAUGGGGAUAAAAGUGAUUGGAGCCGCCUUGAUGAGUCCCAUUCAACUCCUGCCUGAAGAUCGUCUUCUUCUUCUUCUUCAAAACAAAGAUGCAAUUCAGCUGUGACUUAUGUCUUAAGACUACGACCGGCCUCCAGCCGUUCGUUGACCACGUCAAAUCAAAAGGACAUCGGAAGAACCUGGAGGCUGGUCGUCAGCCGGUUUAUAAAUGUAGCUGCGAUGACGAGUGGAUUGAUCUUGGGGCAAUGAAGGAUCACGUUACAACGUCCCGACACAUCAACAACUACCUUCAGAGGCUUAUCAACUUCUACGGGGUGUUGCCCAUUAACAGCGUGACGAAGAUGGCGCAAGCCCAGGCGGAGCUCCUGUGUUUAUAAUAAAAAGUUUAAAACCAA